AUAAAGAAUACUGGGUCAAAUCAGUACUUGGUAUAUCAUAGUAAUAACAAAAUUCGUCAAUAAAAAAACGCUCGAAUACAUAAGAGGCAACUAAGCUGAUAACAUUGUAAAAAAAUACUGGCAAAAUGCCUAAAGACAAUACUGUGAGCCAAACUUUUUGACUAAUACCGUAUCCAUGUAGGAAACUAGCCGUAAAUAAUGCCAAAGGUACAACAUCGACGAUCUUGGAGUACCAGUCAUAAGAGAUCCUUAAGUACUUUGUAAUAUCAAUCGCUGAUGUGAUAAAUGGAGCUCCUGGAAGUAAUAUCGCUUAAAAAUAAUGUGCUUAUUAUUAUAUGUUAAUGUUAUUGGUGCUGCUAUAUUCACUAUAUGUUACAGCGUGAACUAAUUGUUUUCAAAUAGUGAAGCCAAAAAUAUUUUUUAAGAUGAAAUUUAUAAAAACAUUAUAGAACCUUCACAUUAUUAGAUAUGUAUUUGCGUUUAUUGAACAAAAACUUGUAGUGAAACAAAAAGAAUUAAAAGAUGAUAGUAUUUGAUUUCAAUUCUUAAAUAUGACAUGAAAAUAGACCAACACAGUUUUAAGAUUAACUGAAAAAUAGUUGGAACUUGCGAGAAAUAAUAUGAGUAACAGGUUUUUAAACUACUAUACUCUCUAAUUUUAAUAGGAAUAAUUGCUAAAGCUUAUAUUAAAGGGCCUGCAAAAACAAAUGUUAGUAAUAAAAUGUUUUAAUAAAAUGAAUAAAAUAAAUGUAUUAGAAUAAUGGUUUAGUAACUAUUAUGUUAUGUUUAAAAAGGAAUUUUAUAAUAUUAUUUUAGCAUUUGUAACUAAGAUACACACACGAAAAGUCCAAGCACUAUAUUUUCAAAAUCAUUAAAAUCUACAAACUUGUAUUAGAAACUACAGUGUACACAUAAAUUUCUACAUGAAAGCAAGUGAUACAGGAAGUUGAUAACAUGCAUAACGGACAAAAAGCAGCAUUAUGCAAAAUUAUUACAUUGCUAUAUGCAAAGCAUAAAUACCCAAUACCUAACACUUAAGUAAAAAUUUACAUAAAAACAAAAAUACUACUUUACUACUGCUAAAUAAUGUCUGUUAAACUGUUCAUUUUAUUAAAUGUGUUAUUUGAA
This is a long non-coding RNA of Megachile rotundata (alfalfa leafcutting bee), 1128 nucleotides long. NCBI's taxonomy places the organism in Eukaryota, Metazoa, Arthropoda, Insecta, Hymenoptera, Megachilidae. The record is from RefSeq and is a predicted model, not a curated record.